CGCAGCAACAAAGACCCAACACAGCCAAAAAUAAUAUAAAUAAAUAAAUAAAAUAAAGGAAACUUAGAUUUUAAAAUAAUAAAAUAAAAAUGGACAAGGAAAGCAGAACGAGUGGCUCAGAGAGAAGUAAGGAUGGGAGAAGGGGCAGGAGAGAUUUGAAGAGGGAUACUCCCCCCACUAUUGCUGGCGUCGAAGAUGGAGGAACGGAACCACGACCCAAACAAUGCAGGCAGCUUCCAGAAGCUGGGAAGGACCCUCAGCUGACAGCCAUCAAGGAAAUGGGGACCUGAAAGGAACUAAAUUCUACCAACAGCCUGAGAUAGUGAGGAGAUGGAUUCUCGCCUAAGAGCUCCCAGGACGGACACAGCCGACCCCGUGAUUUUAGUCCAGUUAGAUCUGAACCCGGCUUCCGACAUACAGAACCGUAAGGUAUCUAUCCUCCAGAAAUAAAUGUAUCUAAAUUCUAAGGAUAUACAUACAGGGAUGUUUUCUGCUUUGGAAGACCUGAAAAUAACCAUCCGUAACACGUAAAUGCUGUCCUGCAAAGAGGCCUGAGAAAGGAAGCAGAGAAGCAAGUUGUUUACCUAUUGAAAUAAACUAGAGGAUCCAGGUUGGUGAUGAGUCAGACCUGAAGUUGUUUUAUAGAGACAGCACUGUGCAUGUGCAAGAUGGGAACCCAUGUCUCCAGGAUGAGCCCAGAACCAAAUAUCUUCAGUCUGUGGAACUCAAAGAAUAGAAUUGUUGCCACCAGAGGGCUUUAAGAAGGGAGAGGUCCUAAAAUAAGGAAAAUCUGGCUUCCAGCAGCCUAAGUACCUUGGUUAUCAUAUAUGUACUGAUUUGAGGCUAUCCAAUCAACUUCUGCCAAGUUUGAAAUUCCCCUAACCCCCUAACCUGGGAUCAAGGAGACAGAUUUGAGCCCUGCCUUCUAUCUGCUUGCUGGUCAACCUCACAAUAAAGCUCUUUUUGUUUUUCAAAAGCCGGUGCCAUAGAAUUGACUUCUAUGCAUGUCUGGCAGCAAGCCCUUGCUUGGUAACACUACUGUCAAUUUCUAGAAUUAGCUCCCCUUUUGGGGAGGAAGAAAUUCCAGACAAUAUUUCUUUAAGA
Non-coding RNA from Delphinapterus leucas (beluga whale), 1104 nucleotides. Lineage: Eukaryota; Metazoa; Chordata; Mammalia; Artiodactyla; Monodontidae. The record is from RefSeq and is a predicted model, not a curated record.